This is a long non-coding RNA of Strigops habroptila (Kakapo), 3513 nucleotides long. RefSeq lists it as uncharacterized. The record is from RefSeq and is a predicted model, not a curated record. Lineage: Eukaryota; Metazoa; Chordata; Aves; Psittaciformes; Psittacidae. The transcript is spliced from 2 exons.
UGCCAGAAUGUACCCUACAUCCAACAGCUUCUUAAAAUCUUUUGCUAGAUCAAGUCAGCUACUUACAUGUGUUGGGUAUACAAAGGAAGGUAAAAAAGUAGACAGGAAAACCUUUUGUUACCCAGUUCUGAUGACAAUAAAGCAGUCCACUCUUUAGAUUUUUAAAAGAGUAGAUCUCAAAUCCUUGUGCUUGUUUCAAUUCCCCUAUACGGACUGAGCCAAAACAUGAAUGAGUAGAUAGAGUUUCAAGAAGUGAUUUUUUGAGACAAAUACUAUAUUUUAAAUGGUAUUUUUUAAUUUAAUAAGCAAAAGAAAGUGUCUCUCUGAUUUCAGCUUUUAUAGGUGAGAUUAUCAUCAACUAUAUGCUAAGUUAAAUUCUGCAGACCUUUAGCCAGCAAUGCAACCAAGAGUCUGCUUAAGGUGAUUCCUUGAGCUGGAUUUCAAGUACGUGGGUUGGUGGAGCACUUAAGAGUGUCUUGUUUAUCAGAGAAAGAACGAAGAGCUGCUGGAAGGUGCUGAACUGGUCAAUGCAAUCUCAGCACUGCUGAGAUGUAGUGCUAGACAGUGCUUCAGAUAGUAUUGUUUUAUUCUGCCAAAUUGUUGCAAACCUGGUGAUGUCAUGGUGAGGCCAGCUUUAUCACAAUCUUCUAGCCGAGUGGCUCAGUUCCUUGGGGUUGUGAAUGCUAGUAGCCACAUUAUGCAUGUGUCUCCUUCCUAAGGAGGACCUCUCUGUCAUGCAAUCUGGCAGUGCUUCUGUAGAGAUCUGCUGAAUCCCUCUAGUAAAAAAAAAAAUCCAGAAAUCUGAGAGCUUUUUCUUUAUUGGGGCAAGUAAUUGCAGCUAUUUCCAAUUCCAGGUCAAAUAAUUUUCUACCCGAACCCUGAUGCCAAGCAAGAAUGAUGUUACGAUCCAAGUACUGUAUUAAAGGGGGGGGAGUUACGUUUUCCUAUUUUCUGAAGUCUGAGUGAACUGGAAUAGGAGGUUGGUCAGAGUUCUGACAAAUGCAUGCCAUUAUUAAUAUUUCUAUGACAGAUUCUAUGAUUAAUGUCGUUCUGGGUCUUGAUUGCAUGUGGCUCCCUGAAAAGAACCCCAAAUCCUGACUGCUGAAUGCUAAUAGAUCACAUCCUUUUAUAAACUCUAGAGGAAUAUAAAGGGAGUAAAAAAAUGUUUGCUUGCUUGUUUUUUCUUGGUCUGUUGCCAUCUUCAACAUCAACUAGCACUUCUGCUUUGUCUUCUUUCUGUCACAUAAGCAUGGCAGCUGAGCAGGCAAACAUGACUAGAAGCUGGGGACGUGGGAUGGUGGCAAACGGUUUGUCAGGCCUACUUUUUUUCCCCAGCUGCAUUGCUUAGGGUUACAGAAUGAGCUUCUAAAUAUUGUUGAGUAAGAAAUUGUUUAGGAUGCAGGGUUUGAUUAAAUUGCUUACUAAACUAGCUGUACAGGGUGACGCAUAAGGGUAUGGGGAACUCCAGUUCAGGAGCCAUGAAGACAGUAUGAGUCUUUCAGGGUGGCAUGAAGGCAGAUUAUUAGGGUUUUACUGCUUAAAGUCAGAGCUGGAAGGAAGCUUUUCAUUAUUUCCAUAGUCCUGGUGGUUGGAGCAUUGGCAAGCAGUGACCCAAGAGGUACAAGCCUUCUUCCUCCCAUAAGAGAUCUUGUGUGGUGCUGCAGUGGUAAAAGAUCUUGGGGGAGAGAAAGCAAUUAGUGCACCUAUCUGUAGAAAGCUCUUCAGAGGGACUAAAGGGAAAACAAUUAAUUGAUAAUGGUGGAUCAAGAAUGCAUUUUCAAUGUGCAAAGCAGUCUACGCCAAUAUGCUGGCUGGGGAAAGGUUGGGUGCUAUUUGCCAGUAGCUUUAAGUUGUUGGUAGGGAGAAACAAAGAGUGGUAGCAACUAUUGCCCAGCCUGAGGUUCUGGUGAAAGAGCAUGGCUGUGAGAUGCUCCUGUGUGGGACUAAGACUUGAGUUACUGUUUUGUUCAUACAGCAGUACGUGGUAUGCUGGGACUCUGAUCUUGAGUGCUAGCUCACUCUUCUAGAGGGUCAGAACUCAAGAGUGGCAAAGGUUUUUUAGGAGAGCUAGAGUGUAUGUCUUUACCAGACCUUAUCUGCCUCUUGAAUUCAAAGAUUGUCUUGAAACUACCUUGCAUUGACACAAAAACCCCUCAGGUACUAAAAGUCUUUGAGAACUGAAGUACUUUGGCUGUAGUGUAUGAAGUAAUAUCAAGAAAUCUUUCAAGUGUAAGUAAUAAUAGAUGGCAAUUGUGAGUACCUACAGCCCCUCCUGGGAAGACUGUGUAUAUUUCUAACUCCUGCUGAGCUAGGACUAUAAAAGACACCACGCAUAAAUAUGAGUGUGGUUCCAUGAGAGGACAGAGCUGUGCUUGUCAUGCCCAAAAGGGGACAAUCACUUUCCUUUCUUUGGAGCUUCUUUCCUCCUUGGCCGUGGCUGGUUAGUUUUGUCCUGCUUUGGUGAAUAUAGUAUCUCAACUAGAGGAUCUUAAGGAGAACACCUUGGUGGAGUGAAUGGAUUAUUCAAACUGUGUUCAGCAGCUCAAAUCUUAAAGAGCUUGAUUUUUUUUUUUUUUCCUUUGCUUUUCUGAAUGUCUUAUGUUUGUUUCAUUAUCACUAGAUGUCCAUUAAGUACUUUCUGUUCCUCCGUUUGCCUAUGGUGGGCAGCUACUCCUGAAUAAAUUAGGAGAGGCUAUAUAGAGAGGAUAGAAUUAUGUUGGCAUGUGAUUGUUGACUCACUUUCCAAAGAGAAUAGGCUCAAUUGUAUAAUCUUUUUUUUCCUCCAUUCUAACACAUCAGUUCACUAUGUUAUUGUUUCUAUUGCAGCCUGCUAAGUUUGUAGAACAAGUGAUUUCUUUGAAUGUCGAAGCUGACUUGUUUUGUAGUAUUACACAGUUAAAAGUGCCUUUUUUAUGAUGAACUCUGAUAUUUUGAACACUGCCUGUUAGAAAAAGUCUCAUCUGUAUACAGUAUGGUGGAACACGAAGCCAGCAGUGAAAUUCUUGUAUGUAGGUGUGUGUUAGGUGUGUUUCUCCACACCCCCUCCAUUCAAACAGUGUGGUCAGAAUGCAAAUAAAGAGAAAUCCUCACUUCAGAGGGGAGGUGGGGUGUGUGGCUGAUGUAAUGCUUUUACAGGGUGAUGCUAUCUGAUGGCCAGUGUACUAAGUUUCAGCCCAUAUUUAAGACUUUAACUCUUGUGCCAUGGUCUCAUGUUAAGAGUAGAAUAUUUGGGUGGGGAAGCAUAGCGUAAACAUUGAGGAAACUCUUCUUUUUUUAUUUGUAGCAAUAGAAGCUUUCAGACCUGUAAAAAGGAGCCACAAAGGAGGAGGAGAAAAUGAUUGCCAAAUUUGCACUCCAUAGGACAAGAAACUAUGGGGUUACAUUUCUGCAAGGAAGAUCUAAAUUAAGCACUGGGGAGUGUUGAAUAUGGGGAUAGGUUGCGCAAAGAGGUGUGAGGAGACAGUUUGCCAGGCUGUGUAAUAACAUUUUGAAGGUAAACAUGGGCAGAGUGGA